This 465-nucleotide ribosomal RNA is filed under the name uncultured Klebsiella sp. RNAcentral's name for it is "bacterial SSU rRNA". It matches the Rfam family "Bacterial small subunit ribosomal RNA", at positions 338 to 795 of the family's 1533-position model. Lineage: Bacteria; Pseudomonadati; Pseudomonadota; Gammaproteobacteria; Enterobacterales; Enterobacteriaceae. The record is from RNAcentral.
CCUACGGGAGGCUGCAGUGGGGAAUAUUGCACAAUGGGCGCAAGCCUGAUGCAGCCAUGCCGCGUGUGUGAAGAAGGCCUUCGGGUUGUAAAGCACUUUCAGCGGGGAGGAAGGCGUUAAGGUUAAUAACCUUGGCGAUUGACGUUACCCGCAGAAGAAGCACCGGCUAACUCCGUGCCAGCAGCCGCGGUAAUACGGAGGGUGCAAGCGUUAAUCGGAAUUACUGGGCGUAAAGCGCACGCAGGCGGUCUGUCAAGUCGGAUGUGAAAUCCCCGGGCUCAACCUGGGAACUGCAUUCGAAACUGGCAGGCUAGAGUCUUGUAGAGGGGGGUAGAAUUCCAGGUGUAGCGGUGAAAUGCGUAGAGAUCUGGAGGAAUACCGGUGGCGAAGGCGGCCCCCUGGGCAAAGACUGACGCUCAGGUGCGAAAGCGUGGGGAGCAAACAGGAUUAGAUACCCCAGUAGUC